GGAGUCUGGACCGUGUCUCAGUUCCAAUGUGGCCGUUCAGUCUCUCAACCCGGCUACCGAUCGUCGCCUUGGUGAGCAUUUACCUCGCCAACAAGCUAAUCGGACGCGAGCUCAUCUUAAAGCGAUAAAUCUAUAAUACAAAAUCCAUGCGAAAACUGUAUAUUACGCGGUAUUAGCAGUCGUUUCCAACUGUUAUCCCCCUGUACAAGGUAGGUUACCCACGCGUUACUCACCCGUCCGCCACUCAGUCAACAAAUCGUCACCCCGAAGGGAUCGUAAUAAGCUGCUUCGUUCGACUUGCAUGUGUUAAGCACGCCGCCAGCGUUCAUCCUGAGCCAGGAUCAAAACUCU
RNAcentral lists this ribosomal RNA (351 nucleotides) under uncultured Pseudobutyrivibrio sp. RNAcentral describes it as "partial 16S ribosomal RNA". The record is from RNAcentral. Lineage: Bacteria; Bacillati; Bacillota; Clostridia; Lachnospirales; Lachnospiraceae.